UACGGAGGGUGCGAGCGUUAUUCGGAAUCACUGGGCGUAAAGGGCGCGUAGGCGGCCUGGUAAGUCAGGGGUGAAAUCCCACGGCUCAACCGUGGAAUUGCCUUUGAAACUGCUGGGCUUGGAUCCUGGAGAGGGUGGCGGAAUUCCUGGUGUAGGAGUGAAAUCCGUAGAUAUCAGGAGGAACACCGGUGGCGAAGGCGGCCGCCUGGACAGGUAUCGACGCUGAGGCGCGAAAGUGUGGGGAGCAAACAGG
Molecule: ribosomal RNA, 253 nt
Filed under: uncultured microorganism
Description: partial 16S ribosomal RNA
Rfam family: Bacterial small subunit ribosomal RNA
Source: RNAcentral